This 396-nucleotide long non-coding RNA is filed under the name Lactuca sativa (garden lettuce). RNAcentral's name for it is "long non-coding RNA (LSAT_LNC002437)". The record is from RNAcentral. Lineage: Eukaryota; Viridiplantae; Streptophyta; Magnoliopsida; Asterales; Asteraceae.
GGUCUCGUUGCUAUCUCCGCCACCGCCAGGCCUUGCAAGACGAUCUUCUUCAUCACAUCCACUUCCUCCUCCUACUACCCAGCCGACACUAAUCACCCUGGAAACCCUAAUUUCCCCCACCAAAACCCCACUAAUUCCCCUCGUUUGACCUUCUUCAUCACCGAAAUCCACGAAUUCCACCGCAGCAGGUCCUUCCCCCGUCCGAUCUUCCCCGACCGAGCAGUGGAAGAUGUCGUCUCUUCAAAACCCUCUUCUUCUUCCUCGUUUCGCGAUCGCACCCUGGACAUCAUCAGUAUUGUCGGCGCUCUACUCGUCGGUGUAGGCUGCGGGGCUCUCACCGCCGCAACCAUGUACUUAAUCUGGUCCGUAUGUUCUAGCAGACGCUUGGAUUUCGGC